This 526-nucleotide ribosomal RNA is filed under the name Panstrongylus tibiamaculatus. RNAcentral's name for it is "partial 28S ribosomal RNA". It matches the Rfam family "Eukaryotic large subunit ribosomal RNA", at positions 443 to 727 of the family's 3401-position model. The record is from RNAcentral. Lineage: Eukaryota; Metazoa; Arthropoda; Insecta; Hemiptera; Reduviidae.
CUUUUAAAUGAUUUGAGAUGGCCUCUCGCCCUAUUCAGUGUAACAGCUGUGGUAGUGGGUUUGGUCGCUCGCAUUUAAAUUGGAAGGGUAAUGGUGGACCGCACUUCUCCCUUAGUAGGACGUUGCGACCUGUCAAAUAAUAUUCUAAGUAUUUGGCUAAUUUGUCUGUUUUUAGGCAGUACUGAAAGGUAUUUCCUUUAACAGUUUUAGCCAUUUAAAUACUGGAUAAAAUUGACAGUAACGAAUCAUGGUGUUGAGCCACUUGAAAUUGUAUAUUUUAUAUGUAUAAUGGAAAGUGUCCUUGUGGCUGUUUGCAAGUGGGUUGGUAAUUAGUUUUAGUCGGAUUUUGGUCCGUCUAGCUAUUCCGCCUACUGUUGGUAAACUGUUCCUUGGACAGUGCUUAUAACACCGGUCGGCAGCGAUUCAGGUUCAGGCUCUUAUCCGACCCGUCUUGAAACACGGACCAAGGAGUUUAGCGUGUACGCAAGUCAUUGGGUGUAUAAAACCCAAAGGCGCAAUGAAAUUG